CAGAACUUCGCUGUACUCUUGGCCCAUGAGGCUUUCUGCAUGUGAUGAGACGGGACAGACCCUCUCUUCUUCUCUCCAUUGCUAGAUGGAUUCCAGGGGGAACACAAGCUCUGGCAACUGGAUGGAUGGAGCCAGAGACAGACUGUUGCCUCCUGGGCCUCAAGGGAGCCCCCCCAACAGAGCACAUAUCCCUCGAGCUCCUACCGGGUGCCAGGCCCGAGCCAGGGGCUGGGGACCAAAUGAGGAACAAGACAGACAUGGUCCCUGCUCUCCAGGACCUCAAGUCUAAUGAGAGAAAACGGUUGCGAACAGCCAACUGGAAAUAACUAUAUUCCAAGUUAUGAAUUGUGAUCAAUUUAAAAAAACAGGAUGAUGGGAUAUCAAACAAUGGCAGUGAUUUGCUAUCCGGAGAACUAUAAAAUUAAAUCCUGACCUAUUGCCACA
Leptonychotes weddellii (Weddell seal) is the source of this 444-nucleotide non-coding RNA. NCBI's taxonomy places the organism in Eukaryota, Metazoa, Chordata, Mammalia, Carnivora, Phocidae. The record is from RefSeq and is a predicted model, not a curated record.